Long non-coding RNA from Physeter macrocephalus (sperm whale), 615 nucleotides. RefSeq lists it as uncharacterized. The record is from RefSeq and is a predicted model, not a curated record. NCBI's taxonomy places the organism in Eukaryota, Metazoa, Chordata, Mammalia, Artiodactyla, Physeteridae. The transcript has 4 exons.
CUCGGGGCAGGAACAGUCCUGGAGCUGCCCAAGCCUCUCCCAGGUCCCUCGGCACCGGGGGUGGCCGGCUGCUUGCCACAGCGACAGCUGGUGCCUGCAAGACAUGGGACUGCUUCAGCGGCGUCAUGACUCUCCUGGCACCAGGGAUCUUUGCUUUCGGGGGCCCCUUCUCCAUGCAAAAAUAUUUUAAAUCAAAGUUUACAACUGCAUUAUAAAAAGAUAAAUAUAAUCUGGGCUGGAGUCAGUAUCAGAUCUUCACUACUAUUACAUCUUAUUUCUUCUGAUUUUAAGAGCAACAAGAAUGAACGAUCCAGUGCUACAAGGCAGCCACGUGCACGGACCUUGCAAACCGCAUGUCGAGCAAAGGAAGCCGAAUUCUAAAAGGUUAAACAUGACAAGAGCAGCUUUCACUACUAAGCAUCUACGAGGAGCCAGGUGCUGUGCAAAGGGCUCAGGAUCCUUCCCACCAUCUGAGUGGUGGGGACUGUCAGGAUUGACUUGCCUAAUGUCUGCCUCCUCACAGCAGAAUGUGUCUCCGUAAGAGAAGGACCACAGCUGCUUUGUUCACUGCAUCUCCCCAGUACCCAAAGCAUUGUCUGGCACAUGCUCAGUAGU